AUUGAACGCUGGCGGCAUGCCUUACACAUGCAAGUCGAACGGUAACGGGCCUUCGGGUGCCGACUAGUGGCGAACGGGGGAGUAAUACAUCGGAACGUGCCCGAACGUGGGGGAUAACGAGGCGAAAGCUUUGCUAAUACCGCAUACUAUCUACGGAUGAAAGCAGGGGACCGCAAGGCCUUGCGCGGACGGAGCGGCCGAUGGCAGAUUAGGUAGUUGGGGGGAUAAAAGCUUACCAAGCCGACGAUCUGUAGCUGGUCUGAGAGGAUGAUCAGCCACACUGGGACUGAGACACGGCCCAGACUCCUACGGGAGGCAGCAGUGGGGAAUUUUGGACAAUGGGCGCAAGCCUGAUCCAGCCAUGCCGCGUGCAGGAUGAAGGCCUUCGGGUUGUAAACUGCUUUUGUACGGAAAGAAAAGCCUUCUUUUAAUACAGGAGGGUCAUGACGGUACCGUAAGAAUAAGCACCGGCUAACUACGUG
Molecule: ribosomal RNA, 482 nt
Filed under: uncultured bacterium
Lineage: Bacteria
Description: partial 16S ribosomal RNA
Rfam family: Bacterial small subunit ribosomal RNA
Source: RNAcentral